RNA transcript from Ornithorhynchus anatinus (platypus), 1324 nucleotides. It is a transcript of the gene named alpha-aspartyl dipeptidase-like, with no coding region annotated. The record is from RefSeq and is a predicted model, not a curated record. Lineage: Eukaryota; Metazoa; Chordata; Mammalia; Monotremata; Ornithorhynchidae. The transcript has 8 exons.
CCGGCCGGGGUGGGACAGGACGGGGCGAUCGGGGCUCUCGGGGCCGCCAUGGCCGCCCCUCCGCGCCGUCUGCUGCUCGCCUCCAACUCCAGCCUGCACGGACAAGGCUACCUGGCCCACUGCGAACCGCAACUGCGGACCUUCUUCGGACCAGAAGUGAAGAGAAUCCUCUUUGUUCCUUAUGCCUUGCACGACCGAGAUGCCUAUGCCAAGACCGUCAGAGAAAAGUUUGAAGCGUUAGGAUAUGGACUAGACAGUAUUCAUGAGUCUUCUGAUCCUAUUGAAGCUGUGAGGAAAUGUGAAGCAAUAUUUAUAGGUGGCGGUAACACUUUCAGACUUCUGAAAACUCUCUACGACAAUAAUUUGAUCCCAGAGAUUAGGAAGAGAGUCUUGCAGGCAGGUGUUCCAUAUAUGGGGUCUAGUGCUGGAACAAACGUAGCAACCGCCAGCAUCAGCACAACCAAUGAUAUGCCCAUCGUCUUCCCUCCUUCAUUAGAAGCUCUUGGAUUUGUCCCUUUUAACAUCAAUCCCCACUAUCUGGAUCCAAUCCCCGGCAGCACACACAUGGGGGAGACACGUGAGGAUCGUAUUCGCCAAUUCCACGAGGAAGCCAACACCCCUCCUGUAUUGGUAGUAUUUCUUUCCUCUUAAGAAGCUGAAGGCAGCAGUGUUCUCCUAGCACCGAUCUAAAAUUAAAGGGUGGAGACUCAAAGCUGGAAUAGUCGGUACCCUGGGUCGGCCCUGCCCUUGAUUCUCCCACUUUUUCAGGGUUUACGUGAAGGAUCCCUGUUGCUGGUGGAAGGAGACAAAGCAACUCUUCUUGGAAGAACCAAAGCUCGGCUCUUUAUGAGGGGCAAAACACCAACGGAGCAUGAGCCUGGAACAGAUUUCAGUUUCCUGCUGAAGAUCUAGAAACCAAAGUCACAGCUGAAAGAAAAAAAAAAAGCCACCACAAAGAUGACUAAAGGGGAACGUGGAAAUAAUCAAUUUGAUUUAUUUUUAUAAGUUUAAUCACAAAUGGAUGUAAGGGUGGGAGUAGGGGAAUGAAUCUCUCCAUCGAGGUAGAGAAGCACAGUGUUAAAGAUUUGUUCUGAUCUUUGGGGAAAUACAGGCCCCCGGGCAGAUACAUUACAAUAAAUCCUUGGUUACGGUUAAGUGCCGGCUGCGAUGUAGAGGUUUUGCGCACUGAUUUUUAUUCUUUUUCAUAACCCGACACAAGAAGUAGCAGAGAGACACUAUAGAGGCUUGCUUUACACUUUCUUGGUAUGACAGUGUUUAUUUUGUGACUUUAGAGUGCCACUAUAAAGUUACCUUUAAAUGAAAA